UGGAUGGUUGACUGAGUGGUUUAAGGUGUAAUACUUGAGAUAUUAUAAGUCUUUUAGGCUUCGUAGGUUCAAAUCCUACACCAUUCGA
Molecule: transfer RNA, 88 nt
Filed under: Kluyveromyces marxianus DMKU3-1042
Lineage: Eukaryota; Fungi; Ascomycota; Saccharomycetes; Saccharomycetales; Saccharomycetaceae
Description: tRNA-Ser (ACU)
Rfam family: tRNA
About the family: Transfer RNA (tRNA) molecules are approximately 80 nucleotides in length.
Source: RNAcentral